UCGGAGACUCGGAGCGACCGGGAAGCGGCCUCCCCAUCAGCCGUACUCACCCGUCGGGAGCCGGCCGCCCGGCAGCCAUCUUAAGACCCAGCCAACACCGCGCCUCCCCAUUGGCUCCGGCUUCUCAGCCAAUGGGCUGCGGCCGUUCUGGCCUCGGGUCGUCAUGGCAACCGGCCGCGCUUCGCUCCGCUUUCGGAUGUGUCUGCAGCGGCGGAUUCGUUUCUUUCUGCUUCUUUUCCUUCACCGUUUCCUCCCUUUUCUUCUGGACCUUUUUUAAAGGCUUUGGUUUCCCCCCACCCACCCCACCCCCCAUUCCCUGCUGCUCGCUGCUGUUGAGGAUGAGGAAAGUGCUGGCUUAGCCCUUGACCUGAGUUCAUUUCCCCCAAGGAGGGGAAGUUCGAUGUAGAUGCUCUCCAGGCUCUUCUGGGAACAUUUCCAUUCAUUCAUCCUUUUCCCUCCUCCCUCCCUUCCUUUUUCUUCCUCCUGUACAUAAUUAUUGACCAGGCACCCUGCCAGAAACAGCCCGGACUCCUGCUCUCCUGGUGCUAACCAGCUGCUGCACUGACCAGAUGUGGGGCCUUGUCUAAAAAGCUCAUCGAACCCCUUUUCUGUGACUGCCACUGGUUCAGGCCCCCGGGCAGGACUUGGGGGAGCAUAGAAAAUAAGUAAGGAAAAAGAAACUAGAAAAAAAAAAGUGCUAUGAAGAAUAUAAAGCAGGAUAAUGUGAUAGUGAUGAGAGAGCAGGCUAUUUUUAGAAAUGCUUCUAUUUUCUGAAAUCGUGCUCUGUAAUAAUGAUAAGACUAAAAAUACUUUCCUAUUUUUUUAAGUAUACUAUUUUCCAGUUCGUGAGGAUGAUAAAAUACACAUAAAGUCCUUAACAUAAUGCCUAGACCACAGUGAUUUUGUCUUAGCUAUACUCUAAAAAUGUGAAAGAGUUUUGCAUUGCACUCUAAUAUAUCAUGAUUUAGUGUAAACAGAUGUUUAAGCUUACUAGGUAACUAUUCAUUACCUCACCCUCAGUGUGUCCCAGAAGGAUAUGCCAGGUUUAUGGAGUAGUUUUCUGUAAGCCCAGAAUCAUAAUAGAACCUGAAUUGACAACCUUGGGUCACUCAAGUCCUUCAUGCUGACCUUCUCAGGUUCUAGAAUAGAAACAGGUCUGAGGGCACCUGGGUGGCUCAGUGGUUGAGCAUCAGCCUUUGGCUCAGGUGAUCCUGAAGUCCUGGGAUCGAGUCCCACACCAGGCUCCCUGCAUGGAGCCUGCUUCUCCUUCUGCCUGUGUUUCUGCCUCUCUCUCUGUGUGUCUCUCAUGGAUAAAUAAAUCUUGAAAAAAAAAAAAAAAAAGCAGGUCUGAGUGAUUUCAGGAUCUGUGUGAAACUCUCUUGGCCAAUUGUGUCCAGCUUCUCAAUAGGAUUUUUCCCCAAUCCAAAUCUUUUUUUUUUUUUAAAGAUUUUAUUUAUUCAUGAGAGAUACAGAGAGAGAGAGGCAGAGAUACAGGCAGAGAGAGAAAAAGGCUCCAUGCAGGCAGCCCAAUGUGGGAAUCUAUCUUGGGACUCCAGGAUCACACCCUGGGCGGAAGGCAGACGCCCAACCACCGAGCCACCCAGGGGUCCCCCAAUCCAAAUCUUUAACAAGUUAGGCAGUUAAAGAAAGGAUGUGUAUAAAAGUGCCGCUAUGGCUGUUGCAUUUGGGCCUCUUAGUUACUGUCUUAGUCUGCUCAUGCUAUCAUAACAAAAUACCACGCACUGGGUGGCUUAAACAACAGAAGUUAAUUUCUUACCAUCCUAAAGGUUGAGAAGUCUAAUAUCAAGAUGCUGGCAGGUAGGUUUCAUCCGGGAGUGUUUUCUCUUGGCUUGUAGACAGCAGCCUUCUUGCGGUGUGCUCACAGGAUCUCUUCCUUUUGUGUUUGUAGAGAAAGAACCUGUGUGCAUGGGAGAAAGCUAUCUGGGGCUUCUUCUUAUAAGGACACUAAUCCUAGAGGAUCAGGACCCCAUCUUUAUGACCUCACUUAACCUUCAUUAAUUCCCUAGAGGCCCCAUGUCCAAAUGUGGCCACAGUGGGGGUUGUUAGAGUUUAAACACAGCAGUCUGUGGGUACCUAAACAUUUGGUUCAUAACAAAUACUGUUGGUGGAAGUAUGACCAGAAUAGAGAGAGAGAACACAGGUCAGAGUAUGGAAAUUCCAUGUCAACUAAUCUCCUCCUUGCAGAUACAGGAAACCACCUUCAGUCCUGGAAACCAUUGAGAUGUUUUCUGUCCUCAUAGUUUUGCCUUUUCCAGAAUGAGGUCAUGUUGAUGCUCCUCCCAUACUGAAUGUCGCAUGUAAUAUGCCAUCCUAACUGCUUGGUGGGUAUUGCUGUGAGCGGUGACCCCGUGGCAAAAACAGAAGAGCAAACGGAGUGAGGAAGGGUUCAGACUGAGCCCUAGUCAUGCUACAUCCAGUUACACUGCCCUACUACUUCACUUGGGGCAUGUUCUGCGAAGAAGGGAUUGGUUGUGUGAAGGGGUGUGCCACAAAGAACCCUCAGGAAUAUAGGACACAGAGCUAAUGAAGUGCCCGGAGGAAAGAAAGUCUUACCUAUCAGCUAUGAAUUCUCUCCCCCAACCCACGUCAGAGACCUGAGGGCACGUGACCUAGGAAUGUGCAUCCCAAGAUAAUACUACCUUCAGAGAACUCUACUUAGAGGUGAGCCUUUCAUCAAUGACAAAGGAAAUUUAGGACACCAAGAGGAUGAUAUUUUCUUAUAGAAUCUAGCAAGACGAUGUGUAAGGAUUUCAGAUGCGUAGCUCCUAUUAAAGUUAACAAGAGUUGUACUGUUAAAACCUCCUCAUGACACUUUGCAUUAUAUCCUGAGAAGUCUGAAGAAGGUGCCAAAGGAUCAUCAAAAUACCAGCCUCGCUUUGAUAAACUUGUCACCAGAAUUGUGAUGUUGAAUAAUGAAGAAAACAUUACCUGAUGAAGUCUUUUAUUUUAUGAUGAUAUCUCUGGAGACAGAGGAGACACAAAGGCUUAAAUGCCAGCUUCAAUUACAUCUUGG
Long non-coding RNA from Canis lupus familiaris (dog), 3034 nucleotides. RefSeq lists it as uncharacterized. NCBI's taxonomy places the organism in Eukaryota, Metazoa, Chordata, Mammalia, Carnivora, Canidae. The record is from RefSeq and is a predicted model, not a curated record. The transcript has 7 exons.